UUAGUAAUGGUAAUUAUAAACUA
This 23-nucleotide small nuclear RNA is filed under the name Arabidopsis thaliana (thale cress). RNAcentral's name for it is "snRNA_01583". The record is from RNAcentral. Lineage: Eukaryota; Viridiplantae; Streptophyta; Magnoliopsida; Brassicales; Brassicaceae.